Molecule: transfer RNA, 69 nt
Filed under: Nucula nucleus
Lineage: Eukaryota; Metazoa; Mollusca; Bivalvia; Nuculida; Nuculidae
Description: tRNA-Trp
Source: RNAcentral
GAGAUUUUAAGUUAAGCUUAAAACUAAUGACCUUCAAAGUCUUAAAUGAAUUUCACUAUUCAAAUCUUG